Molecule: ribosomal RNA, 344 nt
Filed under: Onthophagus rugicollis
Lineage: Eukaryota; Metazoa; Arthropoda; Insecta; Coleoptera; Scarabaeidae
Description: partial 16S ribosomal RNA
Source: RNAcentral
GCCGCGAUAAUUUGAUCGUGCAAAGGUAGCAUAAUAAUUAGUUUCUUAAUUGGGAACUGGAAUGAAAGGUCGCACGAGAAAAAGACUGUCUCAAUUUAAAUUUAAUUAGAAUUUUAUUUUUAAGUAAAAAAGCUUAAAUAAUUUUAAAAGACGAGAAGACCCUAUAGAGUUUUAUAUUUAUUUAUUUAUUUUUUAGUUUAAGAAUUUAAUUUUAAAAUUUAUAAAUAAGUAUUUAGUUGGGGUGACUAAAAAAUUGAAUUAACUUUUUUUAUUAAUUUUAACAUUAAUUAAUGAUUAAAUGAUCCAUAAAUUAUGAUUAAAAGAUUAAAUUACCUUAGGGAUAA